GUCUAUGGCCAUGAAACCCUGAACAUGCCUGUUUUUGUCUGAUCUUGGAAGCUAAGCAGGGGUGGGCCUGGUUAGUACUUGAAUGGGAAACCACCUAGGAAUACCAGGUACUGUAGACU
Molecule: ribosomal RNA, 119 nt
Filed under: Pteropus alecto (black flying fox)
Lineage: Eukaryota; Metazoa; Chordata; Mammalia; Chiroptera; Pteropodidae
Source: RNAcentral